Molecule: small RNA, 178 nt
Filed under: Arabidopsis thaliana (thale cress)
Lineage: Eukaryota; Viridiplantae; Streptophyta; Magnoliopsida; Brassicales; Brassicaceae
Description: ATSL248670
Source: RNAcentral
CUCCCCCUUUGACAAGACAUGCUAUUCCGUAUUUAUAGCCUUCUGCGCGUGUAGGGCAUUCAUCGAGGGAUUUGACGAAACUACCCUUCGCCUUAAUACUCCUUGGUUUGGAACUUAUUUUGGGCUUUUGACUUGGGUUUGGGCAUUGGGCCAAGUAGGCCCAAUCCGACCCCUAACA